RNAcentral lists this non-coding RNA (27 nucleotides) under Homo sapiens (human). The record is from RNAcentral. Lineage: Eukaryota; Metazoa; Chordata; Mammalia; Primates; Hominidae.
UGGCUGAAGACUGUGAAAGAGAAAGAG